Molecule: long non-coding RNA, 524 nt
Filed under: Homo sapiens (human)
Lineage: Eukaryota; Metazoa; Chordata; Mammalia; Primates; Hominidae
Description: HSALNT0290151
Source: RNAcentral
GAACUUCUGACCUCAGAUGAUCCGCCUGCCCUGGCCUCCCAAAGUGCUGGGAUUAUAGGCAUGAGCCACUACAACUCGCUUCAUCUCUCACUUUUUAAUAAACGUAUUCUUCACACCCCGUGUUCAGCAUUACCCUAGAACAGUACUUGCUGCAACAUUCAAGUUUUCCAUCUGCUUAAUCCAAUGCAGUGGGCAGCAGCUACAAAUGGCAGCUACCGGACACAUGAAACCUGAAGCUUGAGAAACCGAGGAGUGGAAUUCAUUCAUUUAAAUCGGGUCCUGAGGUCUUCUUGAUGCCCUUCUGCCUUCCUGCCCAGAGCUCCCAUUUAAUCCUUCUUUCACCUGCUUUCCCCAGGAAGAGACCCUGGGAAGAGAACAUCUCUUCCCAGGAUGGUCACCUUUACCCUGAAGUCCUUCUGGUCUGAAUAUGGCUGUGUAACCUAGUAGCUACCAUCCUUAAGAUUAUCUACAAAUAGGCCUGCAUUUGAAGUUUCUUCCAAACAAGGUGUCCAAACAAAGUCUCG